GGGGGCCUAUCUGCAGUCGAGCGGACAGAAGGGAGCUUGCUCCCGGAUGUUAGCGGCGGACGGGUGAGUAACACGUGGGUAACCUGCCUGUAAGACUGGGAUAACUCCGGGAAACCGGAGCUAAUACCGGAUAGUUCCUUGAACCGCAUGGUUCAAGGAUGAAAGACGGUUUCGGCUGUCACUUACAGAUGGACCCGCGGCGCAUUAGCUAGUUGGUGAGGUAACGGCUCACCAAGGCGACGAUGCGUAGCCGACCUGAGAGGGUGAUCGGCCACACUGGGACUGAGACACGGCCCAGACUCCUACGGGAGGCAGCAGUAGGGAAUCUUCCGCAAUGGACGAAAGUCUGACGGAGCAACGCCGCGUGAGUGAU
Molecule: ribosomal RNA, 373 nt
Filed under: Bacillus pumilus
Lineage: Bacteria; Bacillati; Bacillota; Bacilli; Caryophanales; Bacillaceae
Description: bacterial SSU rRNA
Rfam family: Bacterial small subunit ribosomal RNA
Source: RNAcentral